GGUGGCUCAGUGGUAGAGUUCUUGCCUUGCAUGCAAGAGGCCCUGGGUUUAAUUCCUGGGCACCA
Molecule: transfer RNA, 65 nt
Filed under: Dipodomys ordii (Ord's kangaroo rat)
Lineage: Eukaryota; Metazoa; Chordata; Mammalia; Rodentia; Heteromyidae
Rfam family: tRNA
About the family: Transfer RNA (tRNA) molecules are approximately 80 nucleotides in length. Their secondary structure includes four short double-helical elements and three loops (D, anti-codon, and T loops).
Source: Rfam by way of RNAcentral